This is a long non-coding RNA of Poecilia latipinna (sailfin molly), 943 nucleotides long. RefSeq lists it as uncharacterized. NCBI's taxonomy places the organism in Eukaryota, Metazoa, Chordata, Actinopteri, Cyprinodontiformes, Poeciliidae. The record is from RefSeq and is a predicted model, not a curated record. The transcript has 2 exons.
GCUCCCUACAACUCCGCCUGUCACAGAGCAGGAGGAACACGUGAACUAUUAGAGAGACCAACGUGAAAAAGUACGCUUCCUCUCCGACUAACGCAGACCCGAAUCGAUGCAUCUGCGUUCUCACAGUCAGAGAGCAGGACAAUGGCACGUUUAAAAAGGAGGAAGGAAAAUCAUUUGGAGGAUAAAAGUCAGACUGUGCAUCGCUGUGAAUCGUUACUCCUGCUGAUGUCUCAUCGGGUUCCUGGACGGACAUGGAAGAAGUGGUCAGGACCCGGAUUCAGAACGGAGGCUGAGCAAAAGCCCUGCAAGAAACCCUGCGAAUUCUGUUGCAGGUCCCUCGUUCUCCCUGGAGCUCACUGACAACUCGGACUCGGCUGCCUUCUAGCCACUGAUGGUCCUGAGAUUUCCUGACAAUCUGCCAGCAAAUACAGGACAUAGUUACACACAAGUGCAAAAAUAAAUUGAUAUAUGUAUAUUUAUAUAUAUAAAAAAAAAAACAUUGUGCCGUAAGAACAAAAAUCACAAAGGACGGAGGAGGGAGGGAUGCAGUUUGGCAUAUGCCAGGGCUGUUUGAGUGUCUUGCUUUCACUGCUUCACUGAACUGGCAUUUGGAACGGACACACGCAGGGCAAAGGUCAGAACUGUUGCAACAGGAAGCAAAUUUGAUGGACUCCAUGGAAAUAAGGCACAUUCCUGCGAUGGCGAGAAGAGAGAAGUAAGUUAGAAGAGGAUUGGAAGGAGGAUGGGAGGAAAAUACAAUAAUAACCCAAGAAAGGAAGCACACUGCUGUGAGCACUUAUGAUCUGCCUGAAGCGCUAAAAUAUGGAUUACUGGUGUAUAUUAUUGCCAGAUCAGGGUUUCCAUCAGUGUAUUAUAGGCCUGGCAGCCCGCUAUCCUUUAUAGCGCCACCGCCAGGCUAAGCCUUUCUUGUUUAUGUUUUUAG